Molecule: ribosomal RNA, 363 nt
Filed under: Triticum aestivum (bread wheat)
Lineage: Eukaryota; Viridiplantae; Streptophyta; Magnoliopsida; Poales; Poaceae
Description: partial small subunit ribosomal RNA
Source: RNAcentral
AUGUCUGUGCCGCCUCUGGUGCUGCGGUCGUCUUUACCGUCUGUCUCUCACGGCCUGGUCUACAUCAACAUACCGGGCCGCACCUGUCUGCAUGAGCUGUUUAUUGAGUAUGAGCAAGUCACAGCUUGGGUAGCCCGGUUUUCUUCCAACAAAUUGGAGGCAAAUUAUCAUCAGCUGCUGUCUGCGCUAGAUGGUUCAAUGGACAUGCGCACAAUCGCUGCCACUGCAGUUUGGUUAACUUCAAACAGCCAGUUGGAAGGAACCAUUGGCCGAGUUGCUGACACGGCUCAUACGGGAUCAUUUAUAACCCGCCGCAGUCACCUCAACCUUCUGUGGAUUUACAUCAUGUUAUCAAACCAAUGA